This 85-nucleotide transfer RNA is filed under the name Chloroflexota bacterium. RNAcentral describes it as "Chloroflexi bacterium tRNA-Leu". It matches the Rfam family "tRNA". Rfam says of the family: Transfer RNA (tRNA) molecules are approximately 80 nucleotides in length. Their secondary structure includes four short double-helical elements and three loops (D, anti-codon, and T loops). The record is from RNAcentral. Lineage: Bacteria; Bacillati; Chloroflexota.
GGGGCUGUGGCGAAAUUGGCAGCCGCGACGGACUUAAAAUCCGUUGGAGCAGCCCUCCGUGAGGGUUCGAGUCCCCCCAGCCCCA